Microcebus murinus (gray mouse lemur) is the source of this 1703-nucleotide non-coding RNA. NCBI's taxonomy places the organism in Eukaryota, Metazoa, Chordata, Mammalia, Primates, Cheirogaleidae. The record is from RefSeq and is a predicted model, not a curated record.
UAUGAGGCCGCGGCAGCCAGGAGCACACACAAGGUCCCCAGUAUGAUUUCAGUUACGGUUUUCCAACGCACGGGAAAAAAUAACACCCCAUAAAAUGUUCACUUCCAUCUCGGAAGAGGAAGAUGAUGGCCAGUGGUUGGUUCCAGGAGCCAAACGCCUCCACUUCUUUGCCAGGCAGAUGUCUUCUGCACCAUCUCCCGCCGGCUGUCUCUCGGUUUCCGGGCUGUCCGGAGGCUCUGAAGUCUGUCCGGUGUGGCGGCCAUGCACGCGUUCAGCAAACGGUCACCAGGCCUCGGGAGUCCGCGCCUCCUGACACCCACCACUGCGGGCGUCCCCACGUCCCUGCCAAGCCUCGGCCUCUGUCAACCCCUCUGGUACUCGGCACUUAGCUUCUCCGCUUGGGAAAAUGCAGUGCGGAGAGCGGCUCCCAAAAAGGACCACUUUAAGAAGAGAUUGUCCCAACUUUGAUCACCUUCUGGUGCACAGGCUAUAUUUGAGCCUUGAGGAUUUUCACUACAAACAAAAUUCCAGAAGAAAGAUUCAAAACCUGUAUCCGUGACUCAGAUGUUUAAUAAGCAUUGUGAUCUCAGUCAGAUUUUAUAACAAUAUUUUUAGCUCAGGCCAGCGAACUCCAUAAAGCAGACCAUGAACACUCCCCAGAAGGAGAGACUAGCUGUACCCACCCCUGAGGUAGAUGUUCCCCAACUGAAAUGCCUGUAGCCAUGAAACUGCAGCCUUCCUUCCAUUUAAUAUUGAACAGUGAUGCACAAAUCCCUUCAGACCUGGGGUAGAGAGAAGGAAAACAUAUAAACAACUCUAGGCCAACCUAAGGGAUAGUUUAGAGUUAUUUUGCCAGCAAGAGAUUGUUAUUGAAAAUAAUCAUAGUUUGUGGCAUUUUCACCUGCUGUGAUUCUCCCCAAGAGCAGCCUGCUCCAUGAGCUGAAGGAUGGCAGAUUUUCUUGGCCUAGCCCACAUCUGUCCAUCCACCACUUGGUUAUUCUUCACGACAGCCCCUGAGACAGGCGGCAGAUCUUCCCUGUUCCCGUCCUAACCCAGCGCCCGGACCUUUGCCCUCAUCUCUUCUGACCCAGGCACUGAAGUCUUCUAGCAUUCGCCAGUUCAGGGGCAUGGUCCCAUGGGACCUUUUGGUCUUGGAGGUGCCACAAGAGUUAAGUCACCUCUGUAUUGCUGCUUCCCAGAUAACUCAGAGAUUAACACUGGGCUCAAGCAUAUUUAUUUCAAAAUAUAAUAUUUCAGGAAAUGUAUCUCAGUAUAUAAACUGUGGGUCAAACCCCAUGAGCCAUUGCAGAGACUCCAGAGAACACGGCCCCUCCACUCCCCUUCUCUUUAAAUCUAGCCCUUCAACCAUCAGGCUACUUUUAAUCUGUAUUUCAAGAUAAAAUUAUCCUGGACUUAGAGUCAGCUCUGAAUCCAAUGACUGGGCCCCUUAUAAGAAGAGGAGAGGACACACAGAGUCACAGAGGCAAACAGGUCACAUGAAGACAGGGGCAAAGACUGAAGCAGACGCUGCCACAAGCCCAGGAAGCCCUGGAGCCACCAGGAGCUGGAAGAGGCAAGGAAGCAUUCUCCCCUAGAGAUUCAGAGAGCUCAUGGUCCUGCCGACACCUGGAUUUCAGACUUCUUGAUUUCAGGUUUUAGCCUUUGGGAAGUGUGGGAGAAUAAAGUCCAGUUGUUUUAAAGUA